UACAGAGGUCUCAAGCGUUGUUCGGAUUCAUUGGGCGUAAAGGGUGCGUAGGCGGCGCGGUAAGUCGGGUGUGAAAUCUUGGAGCUUAACUCCGAAACUGCAUUCGAUACUGCCGUGCUUGAGGACUGGAGAGGAGACUGGAAUUUACGGUGUAGCGGUGAAAUGCGCAGAUAUCAGGAGGAACACCAAUGGCGAAGGCAGCACUCUGGGACGUGACUGACGCUGAGACGCGAAAGCGUGGGGAGCAAACAGG
RNAcentral lists this ribosomal RNA (253 nucleotides) under uncultured bacterium. RNAcentral's name for it is "partial 16S ribosomal RNA". It matches the Rfam family "Bacterial small subunit ribosomal RNA", at positions 524 to 776 of the family's 1533-position model. The record is from RNAcentral.